RNAcentral lists this ribosomal RNA (456 nucleotides) under uncultured eukaryote. Its description in RNAcentral is "partial 18S ribosomal RNA". It matches the Rfam family "Eukaryotic small subunit ribosomal RNA", at positions 592 to 976 of the family's 1831-position model. The record is from RNAcentral.
CAAUAGCGUAUACUAAAGUUGCUGCAGUUAAAAAGCUCGUAGUUGAAAUGUGAAGUGCAACGAUUGCUGGCUGACGGGAAACCGUUUGGCAUGGUAUCGUUUUGUGCUUUUAACUUGUCUGAAGGUCGCCUCUACUCUUUAUUGAGGGGAGGUUCCUGCUCGCCCGUGGUGGGUAGGCGUGUAAAAGCGGAACUUCAGGCCGUUUACCUCGAACAAAAGCAAGUGUUCAAAGCAAGCGAUUUGCUUCUGAAGCCUCAAGCUUGGAAUAAUGGAAUAAGACCUGGAGUGUUGUUCCGUUGGUACUGGGCCGCCUUUCGGGGUGGUUCUGGUGCAAGGCCCGGGUAAUGAUUAAUAGGGACAGUUGGGGCCAUUCGUAUUGGAGAGUCAGAGGUGAAAUUCUUAGAUUUCUUCAAGACGAACAUCUGCGAAAGCAUUUGGCAAGGAUGUUUUCAUUGA